GACAUAGGUGGCGAACGUUAUCCGGAAUUAUUGGGCGUAAAGGAUGCGUAGAUGGUAGAAUAAGUUAUUGGUCGAUGCCAAACUCAAUUUGGCGGAAGCCAGUAAUACUGUUCUUCUCGAGGGCAGGAGAGGUUGAUGGAAUUCUGUGUGGAGCGGUGAAAUGCGCAGAUAUCAGGAGGAACACCGGUGGCGAAGGCGGGUCUCUGGGCCGAUACUGACGCUGAGGAGCGAAAGCGUGGGGAGCGAACAGG
RNAcentral lists this ribosomal RNA (251 nucleotides) under uncultured bacterium. RNAcentral describes it as "partial 16S ribosomal RNA". It matches the Rfam family "Bacterial small subunit ribosomal RNA", at positions 524 to 776 of the family's 1533-position model. The record is from RNAcentral.